AUGUCGCCACCCAAGGUGAUCGCCGGGCCAGCCUGUGUGGUUGGCGAUGAAGGUCGUGGUGAGAUUUUUGCUGAUUCGUUCCCUGGCAAAGGACCUUGGACGCCAAGGCGGCGGCCUCGGACGGCACGGAAGCGUUCGUCAGAUGUGCUAGCCGGCUUCCUCGGCUACACGGGUGGAGAAGAUUUGGCUGAUUGUGGUCGCAACCCAGAUUCCCCACCUUCUGCUCCAGAUCUAAAGACUAAGAAAGGUUUGGAGGACUCCAUCGGCAUGUACACGGUCCAAUGCUACAAAUGUGAGAAAUGGCGCAAGAUCCCAACGAAAAAGGAGUUCGAGACGAUCCGCGAGAGCUUAGCCGAGGACCCCUGGUUCUGUGGCAGGGACCCCAGCGCCGGCCGUUCCUGCAAGCAGCCGGAGGACAUUCCGUUCGAUAGCAGCUACAUCUGGGUCAUGGAUAAGGCAGGCAUCCCGCGCCCGCCACCUGCGACGGAGCGGCUGGUGAUCAUGCGGCGUGACCUAUCCAAGAUGGACACGUACUACUUGCUGCCCAACGGGAAGCGCGCGCGGUCCGGCGGCGACGUGGAGAAGUUCCUCCAGGAGAACCCAGAGUAUAGGGCGAACCUGCCGGCAUCAAAGUUCUCCUUCGCCACGCCCAAGAUCGUUCCGGCGACUGUGGUAGAGAGCUCACUAUGGAGGGUUGCCAAGGCCGAGGGAAAAGUGUGA
This 720-nucleotide ribosomal RNA is filed under the name Triticum aestivum (bread wheat). RNAcentral's name for it is "partial small subunit ribosomal RNA". The record is from RNAcentral. Lineage: Eukaryota; Viridiplantae; Streptophyta; Magnoliopsida; Poales; Poaceae.